AGCCAAGUGAUGUAAAAAAUUGGUAGGGAACCAUGGCAGAAUAGCAACAAGCCAAUAGGUAAGGCCACCAGAUAUCCCCAUUGAGGUAACAUGAUGCCUAAUAAUCUUGAUUACUUGUUGUGAUAUUAAUCAAUAUUUGUUCCUAAUUUAUGCCUAAAUCUUGAAUAUUGGUCGUGAAAAUUCGGGGAUUGGAAAGCAAAUUUAAUGAAAUAAAAAUUGAAUCUUGGUGUUUUAGGAGGAGAGCGACAGCAGCAAAAAAAGGGGGUGAGAAAAUGAGCGUGUAUGUGACUACAUAUCCAAUUUAAGCCUGUACAAGAAGCCAAAAACACAGUUGGAUUGAGUGUGUAAUUCACAUGAAAGGCUGCUCUUGGUUGAUGGCAAGACAGAAAUUAAAGGUGUUUGAUAAAUAAAAAUGGUUGUAAACCAAAAGAGGGCCUCAUGGAGCUAUAUGCUAUCAUUGGGUUUAUACAUUCUUUGCCAUUUGUGUGAGUGGGCCUUAUCUGUAUCCUCAUUUCAAAAGCAGCUUUAUAUUUAUGAAGCAGACAGGGGAGUAAGUAAAGAAUAGGGAGAUUUCCGGGCAUGAGGUGUUAUGAGUGUGCAAACAAAGUAUCUUCCAAUUUAAAAGAGGUCUAAACCUCUGGCCCUGUCUGUGGGAGAGAGAGAGAAGAGCUAUGUUUUUAUAAGUGAGGUUAGUUCACCUGUAAAGUGGCUCCUGGUAAUAAAGGCCAGAGAAUUUAUUGUGCAGAGACAGCUAAGCAGUACCUUUCCCCUCUCCAAUGAUGAAGCUGGUUUUGUUGCAUGAAGGAGUCAAUAGAUAAAGGGGGCCAUAGCCAGUCAAGAAGAUUGCGGAUUGCCCAAUACCAAAUUCAAGAUAUUCAAUUCUCUCCAUAAAUAUAUUGCCUUGUUGCUGCUAAGCUGAAAUGGAUCCUCCUAAAAUAGGCAGCGAGGAAUGCAGCAGCAGCGAAUCCGGCUGGACGACAUACAUAGCCUCACCCGACCUCGAGCACGACUAUGCUGAUCACAACGAAGACGAAGAUGAUGAGGACGACGCCACCAUAGCCGAAAGGGUUAAAAAAAGUCGAGCAAGAAGAAGCAGCAGCGGAUAGCGAUGACUCCAUGGCUUCCGAUGCAUCCUCUGGUCCUAGCGAUCAAUAUGGAUAUCUCGGGAGAAGCCACCAUGCAGGGACCAAUAAUCAAAGAAACUCGGCUGCCAAGAAACACCAAGGGAAGAAGAAACAGAUAAAACAAGAAAAGGACAAAUCGCCCAACACUGCAGGAAGAUUGAAGAAAUUUUAGCCCCACUUGUGUCAAGGUAUAUCCCAGGAAAUAUGCAUACAGUUUUGUACUUGUUGAUUCCAUGUUUAAUGCAAUAUCAUGUAUAAAAAAAUGGGUAUUACAGCUUUUUUCUGGGAUUUUUUUUCGGUUUAUGAUAUGGUCUCACUUGUAAAGUUACGGAGAAUGCAUACACUUUAUCAUGAUUUUGAGGCUUUUCUGC
Molecule: long non-coding RNA, 1495 nt
Filed under: Salvia miltiorrhiza (redroot sage)
Lineage: Eukaryota; Viridiplantae; Streptophyta; Magnoliopsida; Lamiales; Lamiaceae
Description: long non-coding RNA (SMIL_LNC008058)
Source: RNAcentral